UGAGGAAUAUUGCACAAUGGGCGCAAGCUUGGUGCAGCAACGCCGCGUGAGGGACGAAGGCCUUCGGGUCGUAAACCUCUUUUCUGGGGGACGAGUAAGGACGGUACCCCAGGAAUAAGUCUCGGCUAACUACGUGCCAGCAGCCGCGGUAAAACGUAGGAGGCGAGCGUUAUCCGGAUUUACUGGGCGUAAAGCGUACGCAGGUGGCUUCGUUAGUCGGACAUGAAAGCUCCUGGCUUAACUGGGAGAGGUUGUUCGAUACUGCGGGGCUUGAGGUUGGGAGAGGGACGUGGAAUUCCCGGUGUAGUGGUGGAAUGCGUAGAUAUCGGGAGGAACACCAGUGGCGCAAGCGGCGUCCUGGCCCACACCUGACGCUGAGGUACGAAAGCGUGGGUAGCAAACAG
This 404-nucleotide ribosomal RNA is filed under the name uncultured bacterium. Its description in RNAcentral is "bacterial SSU rRNA". It matches the Rfam family "Bacterial small subunit ribosomal RNA", at positions 355 to 775 of the family's 1533-position model. The record is from RNAcentral.